AAAAAUUUUACUUACUGGGUCUCAGGAGGAUAUAAAUUUGGUUUCAAUUUACUUCAAACUUGGCACAUAUAUAAAGGCAGCUGAUACGUUGACAUCAGCAAAUGCAUAGACAUGAUGACAUCAGCUGGAUCGAUGCCAAAAUAAGCUACAAUACGUGCGAGGGGCGGGGUUUG
Sphaeramia orbicularis (orbiculate cardinalfish) is the source of this 173-nucleotide long non-coding RNA. RefSeq lists it as uncharacterized. The record is from RefSeq and is a predicted model, not a curated record. The transcript has 3 exons. Lineage: Eukaryota; Metazoa; Chordata; Actinopteri; Kurtiformes; Apogonidae.